GGAGAUAUAGCUUAGAAUAAAUGCUUUUGCCUGGUAUGCAUGAGGCCUUGGAUUCAAUUCCCAGUAUUUCAA
This 72-nucleotide transfer RNA is filed under the name Ictidomys tridecemlineatus (thirteen-lined ground squirrel). Its description in RNAcentral is "Spermophilus tridecemlineatus (thirteen-lined ground squirrel) tRNA". It matches the Rfam family "tRNA". Rfam says of the family: Transfer RNA (tRNA) molecules are approximately 80 nucleotides in length. Their secondary structure includes four short double-helical elements and three loops (D, anti-codon, and T loops). The record is from Rfam by way of RNAcentral. Lineage: Eukaryota; Metazoa; Chordata; Mammalia; Rodentia; Sciuridae.